Prosopis cineraria is the source of this 304-nucleotide long non-coding RNA. RefSeq lists it as uncharacterized. The record is from RefSeq and is a predicted model, not a curated record. The transcript is spliced from 2 exons. Lineage: Eukaryota; Viridiplantae; Streptophyta; Magnoliopsida; Fabales; Fabaceae.
UCUACCUAUAAAAAUCAUGUGUCUCUGAUAAUUCCUGUUAAGCCGUGAAGAAAAAUGGAGGGAGCACCGCAAAGGCAGGAAAUGUCCUACGCUGAUCACUUUCAAAAGCGUCGUGAAGAGAAAGGCUGUCUCUAUGCUUGUUUGUUCGCACUGUUCUGCUGCUUUUGCUGCUAUGAGAGUUGCGAGUGCUGUGUGGAAAGCGUCUGUUGCUGCUGCUGAUAUAUAUAUAUAUAUAUAUAUAUAUUCUUUAUUGUUACUGAACUGAAGAAGAUAAUGAAAGACUUUCAUCUGGUGAAUUAUGUAA